GCAAACGUUGGGAACUGAAACAUCUCAGUACCGACAGGAAAAGAAAAUAACAAUGAUUCCCCAAGUAGUGGCGAGCGAACGGGGAGGAGCCCAAACCACGGCGGUUACGGCCGCUGUGGGGUUGUAGGACUGCAACAUCUGAUUGAAUCGAGAUAACUGAACUGCAUGGGAAGGCAGGCCAUAGACGGUGAGAGCCCGGUAAGUGACAUUUCUGAUUCACGGUAGCAGUAUCCUGAGUAGGGCGGGGCCGGAGAAACCCCGUCUGAAGCGAGCGGCACCAUCCGCUAAGGCUACAUACUCCUGAGACACCGAUAGUGAACUAGUACCGUGAGGGAAAGGUGAAAAGAACCGGGAAUACCGGAGUGAAAAGAACCUGAAACCGUGUGCUUACAAGCAGUCAGAGGGGUUCAGUGCCCUGAUGGCGUGCCUUUUGCAUAAUGAGCCUACGAGUUACUCCUCCCCGGCAAGGUUAAGCGGUUGAAGCCGCGGAGCCGCAGCGAAAGCGAGUCUGAACAGGGCGCGUAGUCGGGGGGGGUAGACGCGAAACUUGGUGAGCUACCCAUGACCAGGAUGAAGGUGCGGUAACACGCACUGGAGGUCCGAACCAGUUUCCGUUGAAAAGGAUUUGGAUGAGUUGUGGGUAGGGGUGAAAGGCCAAUCAAACUGAGAAAUAGCUCGUACUCCCCGAAAUGUAUUGAGGUACAGCGUCGGCGUGGAGCGUGCUGGAGGUAGAGCUACCGAUAGGACUAGGGGGUGUCAGAGCCUACCGAAUCCUGACGAACUCCGAAUGCCAGCACGUAUAGCCGGCAGUGAGGCCUGGGGUGCUAAGGUCCCCGGCCGAGAGGGAAAGAACCCAGACCAACAGCUAAGGUCCCUAAAUCUAGGUUAAGUUGAACAAAGGAGGUCCGAUUGCUUUGACAGCCAGGAGGUUGGCUUGGAAGCAGCCAUUCCUUUAAAGAGUGCGUAACAGCUCACUGGUCGAGCGAUCGGGCGUCGAUAAUACGCGGGCAUCAAACCUAGUACCGAAGCUUUGGAUUUGCCCAUUGAAUUGGGCAAGUGGUAGGGGAGCAUUCUUCUCGCGGAGAAGCCGCCUCGUCAGGGGCGGUGGAGCGUGGAGAAACGCAUAUGUAGGCAUGAGUAACGAUAAUGGGGGUGCGAAACCCCCACGCCGAUAGACCAAGGUUUCCAGCUCAACGCUAAUCGGAGCUGGGUUAGUCGGGACCUAAGGAAAAGCCGAGAGGUGUAUUCGAUGGCCAGCUGGUUAAUAGUCCAGCACCAAUGUUGCAAAGUGAUGCAGUGACGCAGAAGUGAAAGCACCGCGGGCGGACGGAAGUGCCCGUUGAAGGGCGUAGGUAGUGGGGCCGUAGUUAAGUACGCGGACCUAGCCGAAACCUGAUAGUACCGCACGGGCUUCGGCCCACGCGGAUAGUGUGCCUAAUCCGACUGCCAAGAAAACCUGCUAAGCGUUUUAAUUGCACCAUUGCCCGUACCGCAAACCGACACAGGUGGUCAAGGAGAGUAUCCUGAGGCGCUCGAGUGAAUCACGGCCAAGGAACUCGGCAAAAUGGACCUGUAACUUCGGGAGAAGGGUCGCUUCCUCUGCGCAAGCAGAGAAGCCGCAGUGAAAAGGCCCAGGCGACUGUUUAACAAAAACACAUGGCUAUGCCAACGCGCAAGCGGACGUAUAUGGCCUGACACCUGCCCGGUGCCGGAAGGUUAAGAGGGGAACUUAGUCGCAAGGCGAAGGUUUGAAUCGAAGCCCCGGUAAACGGCGGCCGUAACUAUAACGGUCCUAAGGUAGCGAAAUUCCUUGUCGGGUAAGUUCCGACCUGCACGAAUGGUGUAACGAUCUGGGCGCUGUCUCAGC
Molecule: ribosomal RNA, 1867 nt
Filed under: Hymenobacter sp.
Lineage: Bacteria; Pseudomonadati; Bacteroidota; Cytophagia; Cytophagales; Hymenobacteraceae
Description: partial 23S ribosomal RNA
Rfam family: Bacterial large subunit ribosomal RNA
Source: RNAcentral